GCAAAAUGUCUUAAAUAAUUUAUAUGAUAAUCUAUGCCUUAAAAUAAAAGCUGUCCCCUGUUUGUGUUGAACGGGACAGCGCAACAAUGUGAAAACAAAUAUAUUGAAGGUAAUUUGGGAAUAAAGCACUUUUCGGAAACUUCUUGAUCAGAUUCCACAAUGCAAAAGCUGGAAUUGAUUUGAACUCUUGGUUUGCCACAUGCAUUGAUUAUUAAGUUCGACCCCCUGACUCAGUUACAAGGAUGAACCAAUACAAGGCAAAACCCUAACCCCUUCACGUGCUCCCUUGCGUGACCUCUCUCCCCUUCCCUACCAUCGUUCCUUUUGAUGCUCAAAUUGUAAUACUGGAUCAGAUUUCCAGAAGCUAAGGUACCAUUGGAGCUUGCAUUCUCUUGCAAGUCAACUGGAACUUCAAUUAUGUUAGGAAGCUAAUGCAUUAGUAGCUUUUCAUUAUUAACCAGUUUGGACACUUUUGGAGUAUAUGCCUUGUUUUUAAGCAAUUUGAGCUAGGAUGGUUUGUUUUGAUUUGGAGAAUCUGAGUCUUCAUUUAACUACAACCAUCAAUGAUAGUGAAAAAGAGCAGGGGAUGUGCUUCACCACUCAUUUUGGUUACAUUAGUUCUUGGGUUUUGCUGUGCUAAAUAUAAUCUGGUAACACUUGUAAUGCACAAUAGAUCUAUUUCAAAAUGGAUAGUAGAUGACUCCAAUGGUGGGAUUUUUUUGAUCUUGUCAUUGAGAUGCCUGAAAAUAUGAGGAAACCAAAGAAUGCCAAGCUGCCUUUCCAUGUUGCCUUAACAGUUACUGAUGCUCCAUAAAGCAAAUGGCAGUGUUGCAUUAUGUACUAUUGGUAUAAGAAGCAGAAUGACUUGCCUGUGUCUGAGAUGGGAGGUUUAACACGUAUUUACACUCUGGAAGUCCUGACAACUUGAUGGAUGAGAUUCCUACCAUUAUAGUAGAUCCUUUUCCAGCAGGGCUGGAUCAAGUGGAGCAGCAUAUGUUCAGCUACCAUUAACCAAGAAGCCAAGGCAAGACAAGUGAAAAAAAGGAGAGUAAGAAAAUAAGGAGAAAGGGGUAGAGAGAGAAUGAAAUCUUGCAUGUCUCCUUUAGCCCAAACCCAAACCCAAUCCUUUUUCCUAUCUUUCUUUUGCUUUUCGGUUAUUUUCUCUUUUAUUAUUAAGUUUUUUAUAUCUAAACAAAAGUUGUGUUUAUUUUUGAAGAAAUUAAUUGAUGUUCUGUUUAAAUUUUGCUUUUUUAGACAUUUUAAUUGAAGUUAGAAACAUAUUGCCUUCUGGAGGAUAAGUUGGAGUUGGUUGGAAACUGACAAUGUAAGUAAGCUGAAUGCAGCUUGCAUCUCCGCUGGCUCAAAUUCAUGUUUCAACUGGUUUGUUAAUUUGUACGGUUUUGUUAUGACCACAAUCUCGUGUGAUCUCAGUUUCACCACCUGGGAUUGUAAUAUAGUCCUUGCUUUCUGAAAUGAUUAGUGGUUUGUUAAACUACAAUGAAUUUUGAAUAUGUUUUUUAAAUUUUUAGAUCCUUAUAGUAUCUCAUCUAUAUUAUUUUUUUGUUUUAUUAGUAUUAAUUGAUGCUUAAAUAAUUAAAUUACAUUGUUUUCUUAUUUGAUUGGAUGGGACUCUCAAUUCAUCAAAAUUGGUUUUUUGCAAUGUGAUUUGUCCUGGGCAAUGUGUGAAUAUGUGGAGUUCACUCAUCUUUUUCUGAUGCUAAAUUGUACAGGUACAAUGGGGACUAACGAUAUCUAUUGCUUUGUUUUGACUGAGAUUCAUGAUUUCAUUACGGUUUGUGAACUGUUUAUUCUUUUAUGCUCUUUGUCCUGUUAAAGGUGGAAAUACAAUAAUUGCUUUUAUCGAAGAUCCAGAUGAUUGUAAGUUUGAACUUUUAGAGAGGGCACCUACUCCUGAGCCCCUUUGUCAAGUAAUGCUUCAAGUUGGUGAUCUUGAUUGAUCUAUUAAUUUCUACAAGAAGAUUUUUAGGCUUUUGGCGUGGAGCUACUUCGAAAGAAAGAUAAGAGUAUAAGGUAAAGAUACAUUCUUUACCGACCAUCAAAAUAUUGAAUAAUUGAUCAUAUCUGGUCAUUUUAUAGUUUCCCAUUAAUAUUUCUGCAUACUUUUCGGCAUACAAUAACCAUGAUGGGCUAUGGUCUGAAGAUAAAAAUGCCAUGCUGGAACUGACAGUGACAUACAACUAUGGGGUCACAGAAUAUGAAGAAGGAAAUGGUUAUGCACAAGAAGCUUCGGAUGUUGUCCAAAGACCAAGACAGUGUCUUCUCAAUGCUUGCAACAGUUUCGUGACUGGGAAAUAUCUCAUUCACCAUCAUUAGCAGUAGUUCUGGAGGAGACACUAGGAUUAGGAAAAAAAAAUGUGAGUUUUCCUUUUAGUUCUAAUAAUACAAAUUUAUGUAUUUUUAUAAUUAUAUUAUAU
This is a non-coding RNA of Durio zibethinus, 2435 nucleotides long. The record is from RefSeq and is a predicted model, not a curated record. Lineage: Eukaryota; Viridiplantae; Streptophyta; Magnoliopsida; Malvales; Malvaceae.